Molecule: unclassified non-coding RNA, 309 nt
Filed under: plant metagenome
Description: partial contains 5.8S ribosomal RNA, internal transcribed spacer 2, and large subunit ribosomal RNA
Rfam family: 5.8S ribosomal RNA (bases 1-105)
Source: RNAcentral
GAAAUGCGAUAAGUAGUGUGAAUUGCAGAAUUCAGUGAAUCAUCGAAUCUUUGAACGCACAUUGCGCCCCUCGGUAUUCCGUGGGGCAUGCCUGUUCGAGCGUCAUUUGUACCCUCAAGCUCUGCUUGGUGUUGGGUGUUUGUCCCGUCUCCGCGCGUGGACUCGCCCCAAAGUGAUUGGCAGCCGGCGUACUGGUCCCGGAGCGCAGCACAUGUCGCGCAAACGAGUGCCUUGGUACGGCGGCGUCCAUAAGCCCCUCUCUCACGCUCUUGACCUCGGAUCAGGUAGGGAUACCCGCUGAACUUAAGC